UAGCUCAGUUGGUAGAGCAGUUGACUUUUAAUCAAUUGGUCGCAGGUUCGAAUCCUGCACGACCCACCACUUCCAGAACAGAAUACCGUAGUAAAGCGUGAAGGAUAACGUUGCGACAGCAACGGCCCGAAGGGCGAGGCGAAGCCGAGUCAUCCUGCACGACCCACCA
RNAcentral lists this small RNA (169 nucleotides) under Enterobacter kobei. RNAcentral describes it as "RtT sRNA". It matches the Rfam family "RtT RNA". From Rfam's summary of the family: This family represents a bacterial cis-regulatory element known as RtT RNA. The exact function of RtT is unknown although it is thought that it may be involved in changing the cellular response in relation to amino acid starvation. The record is from RNAcentral. Lineage: Bacteria; Pseudomonadati; Pseudomonadota; Gammaproteobacteria; Enterobacterales; Enterobacteriaceae.